CCUACGGGCGGCAGCAGUGGGGAAUAUUGCUCAAUGGGGGAAACCCUGAAGCAGCAAAGCCGCGUGAGGGAUGAAGGUUUUCCGGUUGUAAACCCCUUUUGGUAGGGGAGAAAAUGGCGGUACCUGACGAAUAAGCACCGGCUAACUACGUACCAGCAGCCGCGGUAAUACGUAGGGGGCAAGCGUUACCCGGAUUUACUGGGCGUAAAGGGAGCGUAGGCGGGAUAGAAAGUCCGGUGGGAAAUCCUGGGGCUUAACCCUAGAACUGCGUUUGAAACUGUUCUUCUGGAGUAUGGGAGAGGUAGGCGGAAUUCCUGGUGUAGCGGUAAAAUGCGUAGAUAUCACGAGGAACACCGAUUGCGAAGGCGGCCUGCCGGAACCUAACUGACGCUGAUGCGCGAAAGCGUGGGGAGCAAACAGGAUUAGAUACCCUUGUAGUC
This 440-nucleotide ribosomal RNA is filed under the name uncultured bacterium. Its description in RNAcentral is "partial 16S ribosomal RNA". It matches the Rfam family "Bacterial small subunit ribosomal RNA", at positions 338 to 795 of the family's 1533-position model. The record is from RNAcentral.